GUUGGGUUUCCUUUAGGAUUCGCUACCCUCUUGGAUGAAUGCUGCCUAGUUUUGUGGCUAAGAUCGCGCAUAAGAGGCGCGGGCUGCGCCUUGACUUUGUAUGGUGCGGUUGCCUUACAAACAAACGUUCUUCGCCCUUAAGUGCAAGAAAUGUCUUCCAGUCCUCACCACUCGGCCCCUGGUGUAAUUUGCCUUGCUGCGGAGGGGUCUGCCGCUUUGGGGCCCUUUCCAAAAGGCCUUUGGAAAUGAGAAUCUAGAAUCUGAUUCCAGAGCCCAAAUUAGAUAGGCGCAGCGGAGAGGGGAGGGGUGGUAAGGGGAGUGUCCAGGCUAGAAGUAGGUGAGAAACGAAGGGUGCGUUUCCUAGCGGCUUAUUGUGAAAGGAGGAAAAUGAAGCCCCAGAGUCAGGAAACUUGGGGCUGGCGGACUUGAAGUUUUGUACUUAGGAAAAGAAAGAGGCUCCAUUAAAGGUAGGAUUUGAGAAGUCAUCACCAAGAGCUGAUCCACAACUCCAGAUCUAAUUGUGGGAAAACAUCAAUGGACUCCAAAUUGACAAUCAUUCUAAAAAAAGUGAAGCUCCAAGAAAGCUGAGGUCCAUAGACAGCUUGGGACACCAUACGCAAUGCUCACCUCGCUAUGCAGAUAAAGACACUGAAACAUCCAGAGAUCACACAAGCUUUCAGUUACC
This 685-nucleotide long non-coding RNA is filed under the name Heterocephalus glaber (naked mole-rat). RNAcentral's name for it is "lncRNA (ENSHGLG00000043616.1)". The record is from RNAcentral. Lineage: Eukaryota; Metazoa; Chordata; Mammalia; Rodentia; Bathyergidae.